GAUGAAGGAACGCAGCGAAAUGCGAUAAGUAAUGUGAAUUGCAGAAUUCAGUGAAUCAUCGAAUCUUUGAACGCACAUUGCGCCCCCUGGUAUUCCGGGGGGCAUGCCUGUUCGAGCGUCAUUUCACCACUCAAGCCUCGCUUGGUAUUGGGCAACGCGGUCCGCCGCGUGCCUCAAAUCGUCCGGCUGGGUCUUCUGUCCCCUAAGCGUUGUGGAAACUAUUCGCUAAAGGGUGUUCGGGAGGCUACGCCGUAAAACAACCCCAUUUCUAAGGUUGACCUCGGAUCAGGUAGGGAUACCCGCUGAACUUAAGCAUAUCAAUAAGCGGAGGA
This 332-nucleotide unclassified non-coding RNA is filed under the name soil metagenome. RNAcentral describes it as "partial contains 5.8S ribosomal RNA, internal transcribed spacer 2, and large subunit ribosomal RNA". The stretch from base 1 to 121 matches the Rfam family "5.8S ribosomal RNA", at positions 35 to 154 of the family's 154-position model. The record is from RNAcentral.